GGAUGCGAUCAUACCAGCACUAAAGCACCGGAUCCCAUCAGAACUCCGAAGUUAAGCGUGCUUGGGCGAGAGUAGUACUAGGAUGGGUGACCUCCUGGGAGGUCCUCGUGUUGCAUUCC
Molecule: ribosomal RNA, 119 nt
Filed under: Triticum aestivum (bread wheat)
Lineage: Eukaryota; Viridiplantae; Streptophyta; Magnoliopsida; Poales; Poaceae
Also listed under: 1 other name
Source: RNAcentral